CUCGAAAGCAUGGGUAGCGAACAGGAUUAGAUACCCUGGUAGUCCAUGCCGUAAACGAUGAUUACUAAGUGUUGGAGGGUUUCCGCCCUUCAGUGCUGCAGCUAACGCAUUAAGUAAUCCGCCUGGGGAGUACGACCGCAAGGUUGAAACUCAAAAGAAUUGACGGGGGCCCGCACAAGCGGUGGAGCAUGUGGUUUAAUUCGAAGCUACGCGAAGAACCUUACCAGGUCUUGACAUCUUCUGACAGUCUAAGAGAUUAGAGGUUCCCUUCGGGGACAGAAUGACAGGUGGUGCAUGGUUGUCGUCAGCUCGUGUCGUGAGAUGUUGGGUUAAGUCCCGCAACGAGCGCAACCCUUAUUACUAGUUGCCAGCAUUAAGUUGGGCACUCUAGUGAGACUGCCGGUGACAAACCGGAGGAAGGUGGGGACGACGUCAAAUCAUCAUGCCCCUUAUGACCUGGGCUACACACGUGCUACAAUGGAUGGUACAACGAGUCGCGAGACCGCGAGGUUAAGCUAAUCUCUUAAAACCAUUCUCAGUUCGGACUGUAGGCUGCAACUCGCCUACACGAAGUCGGAAUCGCUAGUAAUCGCGGAUCAGCAUGCCGCGGUGAAUACGUUCCCGGGCCUUGUACACACCGCCCGUCACACCAUGAGAGUUUGUAACACCCAAAGCCGGNGGGGUAACCUUUUAGGAGCUAGCCGUCUAAGGUGGGACCAGAUGAUUA
RNAcentral lists this ribosomal RNA (727 nucleotides) under Pediococcus sp. NIR1. RNAcentral describes it as "bacterial SSU rRNA". It matches the Rfam family "Bacterial small subunit ribosomal RNA", at positions 752 to 1477 of the family's 1533-position model. The record is from RNAcentral. Lineage: Bacteria; Bacillati; Bacillota; Bacilli; Lactobacillales; Lactobacillaceae.